Molecule: unclassified non-coding RNA, 213 nt
Filed under: plant metagenome
Description: partial contains small subunit ribosomal RNA, internal transcribed spacer 1, and 5.8S ribosomal RNA
Source: RNAcentral
UUUCCGUAGGUGAACCUGCGGAAGGAUCAUUCAUAAUAAGUGUAUUAUGGCACUUUUUUAAAUCCAUAUCCACCUUGUGUGCAAUGUGAGGGUUGAUUUUUCUCUGGAGAGUAUCAGUCUCAAACAUCAACUAUAUCUCAACUCUUUGUCUGAAAAAUAUUAUGAAUAAAACAAGUCAAAAUACAACUUUCAACAACGGAUCUCUUGGCUCUC